CGCGCAGGCGGUCCUGUCAGUUGCGUGUGAAAGCCCCGGGCUCAACCUGGGAAUGGCGCGCAGGACGGCGGGACUGGAGGUCGGGAGAGGAGCGUGGAAUUCCCAGUGUAGAGGUGAAAUUCGUAGAUAUUGGGAAGAACACCGGUGGCGAAGGCGGCGCUCUGGACCGAUCCUGACGCUGAGGCGCGAAAGCGUGGGGAGCAAACAGGAUUAGAUACCCUGGUAGUCCACGCUGUAAACGAUGUGUGCUAGACGUUGGGGAGCCUAGCUCUUCGGUGUCGCAGCCAACGCGGUAAGCACACCGCCUGGGGAGUACGGCCGCAAGGUUAAG
This 331-nucleotide ribosomal RNA is filed under the name uncultured bacterium. RNAcentral describes it as "bacterial SSU rRNA". It matches the Rfam family "Bacterial small subunit ribosomal RNA", at positions 568 to 898 of the family's 1533-position model. The record is from RNAcentral.